GGAAUUUUCCACAAUGGACGAAAGUCUGAUGGAGCAACGCCGCGUGAACGAUGAAGGUCUUCGGAUUGUAAAGUUCUGUUGUCAGGGACGAACACGUACCGUUCGAACAGGGCGGUACCUUGACGGUACCUGACGAGAAAGCCACGGCUAACUACGUGCCAGCAGCCGCGGUAAUACGUAGGUGGCAAGCGUUGUCCGGAUUUAUUGGGCGUAAAGCGCGCGCAGGCGGCUAUGUAAGUCUGGUGUUAAAGCCCGGGGCUCAACCCCGGUUCGCAUCGGAAACUGUGUAGCUUGAGUGCAGAAGAGGAAAGCGGUAUUCCACGUGUAGCGGUGAAAUGCGUAGAGAUGUGGAGGAACACCAGUGGCGAAGGC
This 372-nucleotide ribosomal RNA is filed under the name Brevibacillus agri. RNAcentral's name for it is "bacterial SSU rRNA". It matches the Rfam family "Bacterial small subunit ribosomal RNA", at positions 358 to 722 of the family's 1533-position model. The record is from RNAcentral. Lineage: Bacteria; Bacillati; Bacillota; Bacilli; Caryophanales; Paenibacillaceae.